This 487-nucleotide ribosomal RNA is filed under the name Fusarium solani. RNAcentral describes it as "eukaryotic LSU rRNA". The stretch from base 110 to 263 matches the Rfam family "5.8S ribosomal RNA". The record is from RNAcentral. Lineage: Eukaryota; Fungi; Ascomycota; Sordariomycetes; Hypocreales; Nectriaceae.
GUUGCCUCGGCGGGAACAGACGGCCCCGUAACACGGGCCGCCCCCGCCAGAGGACCCCCUAACUCUGUUUCUAUAAUGUUUCUUCUGAGUAAACAAGCAAAUAAAUUAAAACUUUCAACAACGGAUCUCUUGGCUCUGGCAUCGAUGAAGAACGCAGCGAAAUGCGAUAAGUAAUGUGAAUUGCAGAAUUCAGUGAAUCAUCGAAUCUUUGAACGCACAUUGCGCCCGCCAGUAUUCUGGCGGGCAUGCCUGUUCGAGCGUCAUUACAACCCUCAGGCCCCCGGGCCUGGCGUUGGGGAUCGGCGGAAGCCCCCUGCGGGCACAACGCCGUCCCCCAAAUACAGUGGCGGUCCCGCCGCAGCUUCCAUUGCGUAGUAGCUAACACCUCGCAACUGGAGAGCGGCGCGGCCACGCCGUAAAACACCCAACUUCUGAAUGUUGACCUCGAAUCAGGUAGGAAUACCCGCUGAACUUAAGCAUAUCAAUA